Molecule: long non-coding RNA, 642 nt
Filed under: Ananas comosus (pineapple)
Lineage: Eukaryota; Viridiplantae; Streptophyta; Magnoliopsida; Poales; Bromeliaceae
Description: long non-coding RNA (ACOM_LNC038966)
Source: RNAcentral
AAUCGAAAUCAUAAUUUACUUUGGCAUGGAAGUGACCUAAUCACUUCGGUAAGCACAACCCACCUUUCUUUGAUGCCGGAAUGGGAGAAAUGCGCUUCUAGCGCUUUCCCGAGAACCGCGACCCGCGCUCGUGACUAUCGACGCCGAAAAUCUUCUUUUGGCGAUAUCUUCGCGUAGGAGCGACGGAUUGCCGAACCGACUUCGCCAGCGCGUUUCUUUUACCCCCAAUUUGGUUUGUACGCGGUCAAUUUCGCGAUAGGACUUCUAUCCUGCAAAAGUGCAUUAUCGGGGUCAAUUUUCACAAAAAUCGAUUUCAAUGCAAUUUUACAAUUCAAUAGAGUAAUUCAACUCUUUAUUAGUCCAAGGACUUCAGAUCAGUUAGUAAAAACUGUCCAAAUACUGAAAUUCCAUUUUUCUCUCUUUCAUUUUCUUUCUUUCAUUUUUUCUUCUUAUUCUUUCUUUCUUUUCUUUUCUUACUUUCUUUCUUUCUUUCUUUCUUUUCUUUCUUUCUUUCCUCACUUUCUUUCUUUCUUUCCUUUUCUUUCCCUGCAGGCUGCAGCUGCUGCUGCUGUUGAAGCUUCUCUGCUGAAGCUGCUGCUGCUGCGGACUGCUCAGCAGCUAGCUGAGCUGCUGCUGCUGAAG